Molecule: non-coding RNA, 124 nt
Organism: Triticum aestivum (bread wheat)
Lineage: Eukaryota; Viridiplantae; Streptophyta; Magnoliopsida; Poales; Poaceae
Source: Rfam
UAGUUACUCCCUCCGUCCAGAAAUACUUGUCCUAAAAAUGGAGAAAAUGAAUGUAUCUAUAACUAAAAUAAGUCUAGAUACAUCCAUUUCUAGGACAAGUAUUUCCGGACGGAGGGAGUAUCAG